GACGAACGCUGGCGGCGUGCCUAAUACAUGCAAGUUGAGCGCUGAAGGUUGGUACUUGUACCAACUGGAUGAGCAGCGAACGGGUGAGUAACGCGUGGGGAAUCUGCCUUUGAGCGGGGGACAACAUUUGGAAACGAAUGCUAAUACCGCAUAAAAACUUUAAACACAAGUUUUAAGUUUGAAAGAUGCAAUUGCAUCACUCAAAGAUGAUCCCGCGUUGUAUUAGCUAGUUGGUGAGGUAAAGGCUCACCAAGGCGAUGAUACAUAGCCGACCUGAGAGGGUGAUCGGCCACAUUGGGACUGAGACACGGCCCAAACUCCUACGGGAGGCAGCAGUAGGGAAUCUUCGGCAAUGGACGAAAGUCUGACCGAGCAACGCCGCGGGAGUGAAGAAGGUUUUCGGAUCGUAAAACUCGGUUGGUAGAGAAGAACGUUGGUGAGAGUGGAAAGCUCAUCAAGUGACGGUAACUACCCAGAAAAGGACGGCUAACUACGUG
This 497-nucleotide ribosomal RNA is filed under the name uncultured bacterium. Its description in RNAcentral is "partial 16S ribosomal RNA". It matches the Rfam family "Bacterial small subunit ribosomal RNA", at positions 28 to 507 of the family's 1533-position model. The record is from RNAcentral.